This 501-nucleotide ribosomal RNA is filed under the name uncultured bacterium. RNAcentral describes it as "bacterial SSU rRNA". It matches the Rfam family "Bacterial small subunit ribosomal RNA", at positions 17 to 518 of the family's 1533-position model. The record is from RNAcentral.
UUCUGGCUCAGGAUGAACGCUGGCGGCGUGCUUAACACAUGCAAGUCGAACGAGGCACCUUGCAGAAGUUUCGGAUGGAAGCGGAGGCGACCGAGUGGCGGACGGGUGAGUAACGCGUGGGGAACCUGCCCCAUUCCGGGGGAUACCAGUUGGAAACGACUGUUAAUACCGCAUAAGCGCACGGAAGGACAUCCUUUUGUGUGAAAAACUGAGGUGGAAUGGGAUGGCCCCCGCGUCUGAUUAGCCAGUUGGCAGGGUAACGGCCUACCAAAGCGACGAUCAGUAGCCGGCCUGAGAGGGCGACCGGCCACAUUGGGACUGAGACACGGCCCAAACUCCUACGGGAGGCAGCAGUGGGGAAUAUUGCACAAUGGGGGAAACCCUGAUGCAGCGACGCCCGCGUGAGUGAAGAAGUAUUUCGGUAUGUAAAGCUCUAUCAGCAGGGAAGAAGAUGACGGUACCUGCACAAGAAGCCCCAGCUAACUACGUGCCAGCCGCAGC